RNAcentral lists this long non-coding RNA (4472 nucleotides) under Papio anubis (olive baboon). RNAcentral describes it as "lncRNA (ENSPANG00000051091.1)". Lineage: Eukaryota; Metazoa; Chordata; Mammalia; Primates; Cercopithecidae. The record is from RNAcentral.
AUGGUUAGUCUGGAGGAGACAGGAAACAACACAGGAGCUACGCCCAAGUGCCUUAACCCUGGAAGGGCUGUGCCGAGGAAGAGGCAGGGGACUGACUACGGUUCCAAGGGCAGGACAGGAAGGUAUCCAACUGGGUGUCUUGCAGUGUAUCCCCCGUGGAUAAGGGGAACUUCUGACUUAGACGACCUUCCCAAGGACAGUGAGGUAGCUUUCUUCCCUCCUCUUUCCCUCCCUCCCUCCUUCCCUCUCUCCCUCCUUCCCUCUCUCCCUCCUUCCCUUCCCCUUCCGCUUCCCCUCCCGCUUCCCCUCUCGCUUCCCCCCCUUUCUUCUUUAGUGCCUUCAGUCUUUUUCAAACUCUAGCUCCAGCCUAAUCAGUGACACAUUAACUGGGUUUUCCUGUUUAUCCUCUCUCAUUGCUUCUCUGAGUCAGAGCCUCUUCUCUAUAAGUCACUGGAACUGCCCUUGUACUUGUGACCUGCCCUGUACUCAACAGUUUUUGUUCUGGGAAGCCCUGGGAUUCUGCUAAUACCGAUCACUGUAGGUGCUGAAUGGAAACAGAUAAAGAACAUGACCUCAAGGAGCUUCUUGUCAAUGAGAAGACCAAGCUGAUGCCUGGCAAAGGUAAAUGCCACCAUCACAAAAUAAGUAAAAGCGUGCAUUAGCUAAUUUGUAAAUUCAGCUUAAGAUGAAUCCUACCUCUUGGGCCCUUCUCUGAUGCUGGUGUUGGGAAUGUAGGGUUCCUUGAGCCUCCAUCAAGGUCAACAUCAAAUCCCACUGGCUUCUGUCAGCACCACCUUGAUGACCCUAGCUUAAUUUCUCUCUUUCCCGUGACCGGAACUCUUAGACCUUUUCACAGACAUACAAGGAUUUAUCAUUCAAAGCUCAAGGGAUGAAGUUAAAGCUAUUGGCCCAUAGGAAGCCUGAACUCAUGGUUAGGAGAAAAAGAUUGAGGAGUCUGAGUGGGAAGAGUUUGCUAUUUCAAAGACAGCAUCAUAGUACUAGUCAUUGUGGGAAAACUCAGGACUGGGUUGGACUUACUUAUACUAUGUUACUUUUAUAUUUUGGUUACUGAGGGAGGUGAAGGUCCUCCUUUCAGUUCUUGGGAUGUCUAAAUAGCUUCAUGACUCCUGGGCUCUUGGAUAAAUUUGUUUUCAGCAUCAUCUGGCUGUACUUUUUGUCCUUAGCAGGGGUAAAAGGAACCCUUUGAAAAGCCACAUACCCCAGGUUUAAGUUUUUGCCUUGAAAUGUGCCUGGCAUCCCAGGCAGUUUGGGACUGCGCCCUUCCUCCCUCUUGCCAAGUGUCCUGUAUGUUCUUCAGGGCUAGCAUGGAAUUAAGGUGUGGAAGCUGCUGGCCAUCUUUCUGAAUGCUUGCCUGAUCUCUGCAGGUUGCCUCACCCCCAAUCUUCCUGUGCCCUUCUGCAGCCAUUCUGUCCCUUCUCCUGUACCUCCCUGGGGUCAGCUGCAGCUCAUCCCUGGUCUUGUUCUCCCUGAGGUGCUGAUGGUGACAACUUACAAUAGGGUCUCUCCAUAGAGCACUGAGAUGGAGGGCAAUUCUUAGGCCUUUCCCUCACUACAUCAUAAGCAUUAACACUUCUGCUUGGUCCAGAGCUCAGGAAUGCUACUUGUAACCACCUUGAGUUAUUUUGUCAGUAAAAUAGGUCUUUGUGGGCUAGCACUGGAUCUAUUUAAUGAUAACCUUCACUGAGGGGCUGCCAAGUACCAGGCUACAUUUGUCUGGUCCUUCGUAUGUAUCUUCUUUAAUCUUUUCAAUAGUCCUACAAAACAAGUGUUAGUAUUAGCCUCUAUUAUGCAAAGGAAGUCACUAAAAUACAGAUUGAUGAAUGAAUUUGCUGUAGAUCAUUCAGGUUGAAUGCGGCAGAGCCAGGAUUCAGACCUAGCUUUUUCAGGCUGAGUCGCACACUGGGCUUUACGACUAGGUACUUGGCGUUACUGUAAUGUAGAUCAUCUCAACAAAAUAGAGUCAUGAUUUGUUAAUGUGAUAUUAACAAAUAUUUAACACAUAAGCAACUUAUUUUGGUUACCUUAAAAAUAAAAUAUUUGACUGGGCAUGGUGGCUAUUGCCUGUAAUCCUAGCAUUUUGGGAGGCUGAGGCGGGGACAUUGCCUGACCUCCUGAGUUCAAGACCAGCCAGGGGAACAGUGAAUCCCAUCCCUACAAUCAAUCAAUCAAUCAAUCAACAAGCAAGCAAGCAAAACACAGCUACUCAGGAGGCUGAGGUAGGAAGAUCGCUUGAGCCCAGGAGGCAGAGGUUACUGUACUCCAGGCUGGGCUGUACAGCCAGACCUUGACUGAAGUGACAACAAAAAUAGGUCCAGCGCAGUGGCUCACAUUUGUAAUCCCAGCACUUUGGAAGCCCAGGAGCUUGAGCCCAGCCUGUGCAACACAGUGAAACCCCGUCUCUACAAAAAAUUAAAAUUAGCCGGGCAUGAUGGCGUGUGCCUGUAGUCCCAGCUACUUGGGAGGCUAAGGUGGGAGGAUGGCUUGAACCCGGAGUUUGAGGCUGCUGUGGGCUAUGAUCUGCCACUGUACUCCAGCCUGGGUGACAGCGAGACCCUGUCUCUAAAAACAAAAACACAUAUACAAACAAAAGCCCUCAAGUAUUCAAAGUGUUUUCUCUUACUGAGAGACUCUAUAAUGCAGUUUUUAUGGGAAAGAAGGUGAGGCUUGAGGGGGUCACCAAAGAAAAGUAAGAUACGAAGAAAGUGGAGGGGUUGUCUCGAUUUGAAUACUGAAGCAAGUGCUUAUCCCAUAAUCAUUCUUGUCCCAGAGAUUUUACACUCAACAAUGGAAAGUCACUGAGAAUCCCAGUACUGCAGAAAACAGCCUGUGGAGCAGGGCCCAAGUAGGGUUGCAGAUGACUGUUACCAGAAAGGGGUCCUGAUCCAAACCCCAAGAGAGGGUUCUUGGGUCUUGCGCAAGAAAGAAUUCAGGGCGAGUCUGUGAAGUGAAAGCAAGUUUAUUCAGAAAGUAAAGGAAUAAGAGAAUAGCUACUCCAUAGACAUAGCAUCCCUGAGGGGGCUACUGGUUGCCCAUUUUAAUGGUUAUUUCUUGAUGAUAUGUUAAACAAGGGGUGAGUUAUUCAUGCCUCCCCCUUUUAGACCAUAUAGGGUAACUUCCUGUUGUUACCAUGGGAUUUGUAAACUGUCGUGGCACUGGUGGGACUGUAGCAGUGAGGACAGGAGGUCACUCUUGUCACCAUCUUGGUUUUGGUGGGUUUUAGCCAGCUUCUUUACUAUAAUCUGUUUUAUCAGCAAGAUCGUUAUGACCUGUAUCUUGGGCCGAUCUCCUCUAUCUCAUCCUGUGACUUAGAAUGCCUUAACCAUCUGGGAAUGCAGCCUAGUAGGUCUCAGCCUCAUUUUACCAAGCCCUUGUUCAAGAUGGAGUUGCUCUGGUUCAAGCACCUCUGGCAACCCUACAUGACUUUCUUGUCUUUGCUGUGGCUUCAUCUACAGUCAGAGGCCAGUGGGGAGAGGACCAAAAAAGAAAAUACCUAAAUUCUCUGCGCUGAAAGUCUUGGAGGUGAAUGCGUGUAAACAGUUCAUGCACCAAGAAGGCAAUUCUGACUCAUCUCCAUUAUUGCCUCAUUAUCUUCAGAAGAAACCCACCCUUCUCAACUCUACUUUGUGAUGCUGGAGAUUAUUCAUGCCUCUUGCAAACCACGUUUCUGCUUACACUCCGCCGAUAAAGGGCAGUAGGGAGACAGCUGGCUGGAGGAGGGACUUCCUGUUUGCUUGCUAUCUACUUCCUGCUUCUGUGACCGUCAUCAUGUCAACGCCUAUUUACCUCUCAGUGGCUGUUUCUUUGUGUAGCUGCACUACAUUCAGUUUACAGUAGCUAUCAGCAGAGAUAUCAUUUGCCUCCUGAGAGGUCUGGAUCUCAGCCCAGAGGGCCCUCCUCUGAGCUCAGAGACCUCAACAUUAGUUGAGUGGUCCCCACUCUUCAGAGCUAUGAGUUUUAGCUACUUUGGUGUCCCGCCACCCAAAAUUUCAAUUUAAUAAUUUCCAAUUCCUCCCUUAAUUUCCUCAAUCUAGGAGUGGUAGCUACCUCCAACAAUUGCUAGUACCUUAAUAGAGCCCGCCUUCCCCAACACUGUAUACCUUAACUUUAUACCUAGUUAAGUUCUUUAUAUUAAAUUUGCUCUGUUCAGGCUGGGCGUGGUGGCUCACUCCUGUAAUCCCAGCACUUUGGGAGGCCAAGGUGCGAGGAUCGCUUGAGCCCAGGAAUUUGAGACCAGCCUGGGCAACAUAGCAAGACCUCAUCUCUACUAAAAAUAAUUUUUAAAAAAUUAUCUCUGUGUGGUGGUGUGUGCUGUGGUCCCAGCUAUUCGGGGUGCUGGGGCAGGGGGAUGGCUCGAGCUCAGGAGGUCAAGGCUGCGUUGAGCCGAGAUCGCGCCGCUGCACUCCAGCCUGGGUGACAGAGCCAGACGCUUUGCAAAAACAACAAAAAACUUG